GCUUGACCUCCUAGACCAAGAUUUUUUGGAGCACCUUGCUCUGCUACCGAAAUCCCGUUCUCCGUAUCGUAACUAAAUAAAUGAAUGGAUUACUAUUUAACAAUGAUUUCACAUUAAAUACUUUUUUAGAAAAUAAUACAAUGGAAAUAUCCUGGAGAGCAAUAAGAGUAGAAAUAUUAAAAAAAAAAAGGAAUUUUAAUAAGCAAUAACGAUAGAUUGAUGCGAAAUAUUUUUGGAGUAAAUAAAUAUUCUGCAAAUUAAAUUUUAUCAUGUCAUAGAUAAUACAAACUUGUUCAGAAUGAAUAUUCAUAGGUAAAUGACUAACAAUUCAAGUUCAAGAAAUAAUUAAAGCCAAAGUUAAAUAAAAUCCCAGAAAAAAUUCACUCACAAGAAUCCGCAUGCUGAAAAAAUCUGUUGAUAACUGUAGUUUCCAGAAAAAUAAAAUUUGGACUUUCGUACCAAAAACUAACGUUAGACAAUACAAAACUGUAGCUACCGUGAAUCAAGUACCCUCGUGCUGGGUUCUUGCAGGGAAUUUAUACCGAUCAGGGUACAGACAGCAUCUUCUUUCUUGGUGGUUCGAUUACGUUAUUAGGUGGGGAUGUGUGGAAGGUCGGACUUUAGCACGUAAUUCAAAGUGGGGUGUACACACAGUAAGGACAUGUGGACGUAAGCAGGUCGGUAGGUGGUACCGAGACUUUAUGAAGCCUGCAUAAAAUAUCCAAUUCAACUUUAUUAACGUUCCAAGGGUUUUCCUCCAUUUGACCCCUUCAUCAUCAUCACAAUUGUAGGUUACAAUUCAUCUAGAAUAGAUUUGAAUCGAUUAUGGUUAAUCAAAGGGCGUGUUCUUUUCAUUAAUUACAUAC
Long non-coding RNA from Chelonus insularis, 866 nucleotides. RefSeq lists it as uncharacterized. The transcript is spliced from 3 exons. The record is from RefSeq and is a predicted model, not a curated record. NCBI's taxonomy places the organism in Eukaryota, Metazoa, Arthropoda, Insecta, Hymenoptera, Braconidae.